AUACGUAGGGUGCGAGCGUUGUCCGGAAUUACUGGGCGUAAAGAGCUCGUAGGUGGUUUGUCGCGUCGUCUGUGAAAUUCCGGGGCUUAACUCCGGGCGUGCAGGCGAUACGGGCAUAACUUGAGUACUGUAGGGGAGACUGGAAUUCCUGGUGUAGCGGUGAAAUGCGCAGAUAUCAGGAGGAACACCGGUGGCGAAGGCGGGUCUCUGGGCAGUAACUGACGCUGAGGAGCGAAAGCAUGGGUAGCGAACAGGAUUAGAAACCCUGGUAGUCCAUGCCGUAAACGGUGGGCGCUAGGUGUAGGGGUCUUCCACGACUUCUGUGCCGUAGCUAACGCAUUAAGCGCCCCGCCUGGGGAGUACGGCCGCAAGGCUAAAACUCAAAGGAAUUGACGGGG
Molecule: ribosomal RNA, 398 nt
Filed under: uncultured bacterium
Lineage: Bacteria
Description: partial 16S ribosomal RNA
Rfam family: Bacterial small subunit ribosomal RNA
Source: RNAcentral